AACGAACGCUGGCGGCAUGCCUAACACAUGCAAGUCGAACGAGAACUCCGUGUGUAGUGGCUCACGCGUGCGUAACGCGUGGGAACCUGCCCUUAGGUUUGGCAUAACUCUCCGACGGGGGUGCUAAGAUCGGUAAACUUCUGCGUACCAAAGAUGUAUCGCUCUUGUAUGGGGCCGCGUUCGGUUAACUAUUUGGUAGGGUAAAAGCCUAUGAAGGCUAAGAUACAUAGCUGGCAUGAGAGGAUGAUCAGAGACACUGGGACUAGGACACGGCCCAGACUGGUACGGGAGGCAGGAGUGGGGAAUAUUGGCCAAUGGGGGAGAGUGUGAUCCAGCGAUGGUGGGUGAGUGAUGCUGGUGUUAGAGUUGAAAAGCACGUUUACCCGGGACUAUAAUGACGGUACCGGAAGAAUAAGCACCGGCUAACUCCGUG
This 433-nucleotide ribosomal RNA is filed under the name uncultured bacterium. Its description in RNAcentral is "partial 16S ribosomal RNA". It matches the Rfam family "Bacterial small subunit ribosomal RNA", at positions 29 to 507 of the family's 1533-position model. The record is from RNAcentral.